CAUAAGCCCACGACCCGGCAUCGGGUAGAGGGAAAAGGAGCAAUCCGCUUUGAGAUGGCCUCGCGUCCGAUUAGCUAGUUGGUGAGGUAACGGCCCACCAAGGCGACGAUCGGUAGCCGGACUGAGAGGUUGAACGGCCACAUUGGGACUGAAACACGGCCCAGACUCCUACGAGAGGCAGCAGUGGGGAAUAUUGCACAAUGGGGGAAACCCUGAUGCAGCGACGCCGCGUGGAGGAAGAAGGUCUUCGGAUUGUAAACUCCUGUUGUUGAGGAAGAUAAUGACGGUACUCAACAAGGAAGUGACGGCUAACUACGUGCCAGCAGCCGCGGUAAAACAUAGGUCACAAGCGUUGUCCGGAAUUACUGGGUGUAAAGGGAGCGCAGGCGUGAAGACAAGUUGGAAGUGAAAUCCAUGGGCUCAACCCAUGAACUGCUUUCAAAACUGUUUUUCUUGAGUAGUGCAGAGGUAGGCGGAAUUCCCGGUGUAGCGGUGGAAUGCGUAGAUAUCGGGAGGAACACCAGUGGCGAAGGCGGCCUACUGGGCACCAACUGACGCUGAGGCUCGAAAGUGUGGGUAGCAAACAGGAUUAGAUACCCUGGUAGUCCACACUGUAAACGAUGAUUAAAAGGUGUUGGAGGAUUGACCCCUCAAGUGCCGCAGUUAACACAAAAAGUAAUCCCACAUGGGGAGUACGCCCGCAAGGUUGAAACUCGAAGGAAUUGACGGGGGCCCGCACAAGCAAGUGGAGUAUGUGGUUUAAUUCGAAGCAACGCGAAGAACCUUACCAAGUCUUGACAUCCCUUGACGAUGCUGGAAACAGUAUUUCUCUUCGGAGCAAGGAGACAGGUGGUGCAUGGUUGUCGUCAGCUCGUGUCGUGAGAUGUUGGGUUAAGUCCCGCAACGAGCGCAACCCUUAUGGUCAGUUACUACGCAAGAGGACUCUGGCCAGACUGCCGUUGACAAAACGGAGGAAGGUGGGGACGACGUCAGGUCAGUAUGGCCCUUAUGCCCAGGGCUGCACACGUACUACAAUGCCCAGUACAGAGGGGGCCGAAGCCGCGAGGCGGAGGAAAUCCUGAAAACUGGGCCCAGUUCGGACAGUAGGCUGCAACCCGCCUACAUGAAGCCGGAAUCGCUAGUAAUGGCGCAUCAGCUACGGCGCCGUGAAUACAAAGGCGGGUCUUGUACUCUCCGCCCGUCA
Molecule: ribosomal RNA, 1204 nt
Filed under: uncultured bacterium
Lineage: Bacteria
Description: bacterial SSU rRNA
Rfam family: Bacterial small subunit ribosomal RNA
Source: RNAcentral